This 384-nucleotide ribosomal RNA is filed under the name Triticum aestivum (bread wheat). RNAcentral's name for it is "partial small subunit ribosomal RNA". Lineage: Eukaryota; Viridiplantae; Streptophyta; Magnoliopsida; Poales; Poaceae. The record is from RNAcentral.
AUGACGAGGCCACCGUGUGCUAACCAAGAAGACAUGCCGCACAAGUGGGAGAACACAUCUUUGGACAAGGUGAAGGAGAAAGAUGUGAAGAUUCCGCCAUGUUGGUGUGGAGAUGUUUGCAAGGUGAAGGUGUCCACCGACCAAAAAAAGUCAUGGACGGAAGGAAGGAGAUAUUUUGUAUGCCCCAACUAUGCUUAUGAUCGUGCGCUUCUAACUCACGCCUAUGACCAACCACCGUCACCGCCUCCUCUAUUCAAGUACUUCACGUGGAUAGAUCAUGAAGUGCCAGAAGAUGUCCAAAAGGACCAAUAUCAAGAUUGUCUUAGGCGCCAGCGGCUGUUCGAAGAAAGGAUUCGAAGAGGCUUGGAGGAAGAGCGUCGUUAG